AUUAAGUUAAUAAAUAUGAUAACAUAUAUUCUUAAGAGUUGAAAAAUUUGAAACAUGUGCUAAUCUUAAUUAACUCAUAAAUUACAUUCGAUCGUAGGAUCAUCACAGGGAUGGUGAUCGAUCUAGAAGAUUAGUGUAUGAUUGCUUCUUUCGGAUAGAUGAGUCUUGAAUCUAUGGUGUGGAGACAUCGAAAUGAAAGUACAGAUGCUCAUAAGAAUAAAGAUACAGAGCGUGACCAUUUACGAAU
RNAcentral lists this long non-coding RNA (247 nucleotides) under Elaeis guineensis (African oil palm). RNAcentral's name for it is "long non-coding RNA (EGUI_LNC034093)". Lineage: Eukaryota; Viridiplantae; Streptophyta; Magnoliopsida; Arecales; Arecaceae. The record is from RNAcentral.